This 425-nucleotide ribosomal RNA is filed under the name uncultured bacterium. RNAcentral's name for it is "bacterial SSU rRNA". It matches the Rfam family "Bacterial small subunit ribosomal RNA", at positions 354 to 796 of the family's 1533-position model. The record is from RNAcentral.
GUUAGGAAUAUUGGACAAUGGGCGCAAGCCUGAUCCAGCCAUGCCGCGUGAACGAUGAAGGCCUUCGGGUUGUAAAGUUCUUUAGCCGAUGAUUAUAAUGACUGUAGUCGGAAAAUAAGCCCCGGCUAACUUCGUGCCAGCAGCCGCGGUAAUACGAAGGGGGCGAGCGUUAUUCGGAAUCACUGGGCGUAAAGCGUGCGUAGGCGGUCUCGUAAGUUAGGAGUGAAAGCCCAGGGCUCAACCUUGGAAUUGCUCUUAAAACUGCAAGGCUAGAAUCUCGGAGAGGAUAGCGGAAUUUCCAGUGUAGCAGUGAAAUGCGUAGAUAUUGGAAGGAACACCAGUGGCGUAAGCGGCUAUCUGGACGAGUAUUGACGCUGAGGCACGAAAGCGUGGGGAUCAAACAGGAUUAGAAACCCCAGUAGUCC